Molecule: non-coding RNA, 91 nt
Filed under: Streptomyces sp. NBRC 110611
Lineage: Bacteria; Bacillati; Actinomycetota; Actinomycetes; Kitasatosporales; Streptomycetaceae
Description: sodF sRNA
Rfam family: sodF sRNA
About the family: Identified in Streptomyces coelicolor. It is produced from sodF mRNA by cleavage of about 90 nucleotides from its 3'UTR.
Source: Rfam by way of RNAcentral
GCGUCCUGCCUCGUGAUCGUCUUCUCACCCUUCACCUGGCAGGCGGAUGAACGGCGAGCCCCCACGAGGACGUGACUCGUGGGGGCUCGCC